GGUGCUAUAGUGUAGUGGUUAUCACUCGGGAUUUUGAUUACUCACUUUCCCGAAACCCAGGUUCGAACCCUGGUAGCACCU
RNAcentral lists this transfer RNA (81 nucleotides) under Cubamyces sp. BRFM 1775. RNAcentral's name for it is "Leiotrametes sp. BRFM 1775 tRNA-Gln". It matches the Rfam family "tRNA". Rfam says of the family: Transfer RNA (tRNA) molecules are approximately 80 nucleotides in length. Their secondary structure includes four short double-helical elements and three loops (D, anti-codon, and T loops). The record is from RNAcentral. Lineage: Eukaryota; Fungi; Basidiomycota; Agaricomycetes; Polyporales; Polyporaceae.